This 534-nucleotide ribosomal RNA is filed under the name uncultured bacterium. RNAcentral describes it as "bacterial SSU rRNA". It matches the Rfam family "Bacterial small subunit ribosomal RNA", at positions 100 to 628 of the family's 1533-position model. The record is from RNAcentral.
GGACGGGUGAGUUAAUGCCUAGGAAUCUGCCUGGUAGUGGGGGAUAACGUCCGGAAACGGACGCUAAUACCGCAUACGUCCUACGGGAGAAAGCAGGGGACCUUCGGGCCUUGCGCUAUCAGAUGAGCCUAGGUCGGAUUAGCUAGUUGGUGGGGUAAUGGCUCACCAAGGCGACGAUCCGUAACUGGUCUGAGAGGAUGAUCAGUCACACUGGAACUGAGACACGGUCCAGACUCCUACGGGAGGCAGCAGUGGGGAAUAUUGGACAAUGGGCGAAAGCCUGAUCCAGCCAUGCCGCGUGUGUGAAGAAGGUCUUCGGAUUGUAAAGCACUUUAAGUUGGGAGGAAGGGCAGUAAAUUAAUACUUUGCUGUUUUGACGUUACCGACAGAAUAAGCACCGGAUAACUCUGUGCCAGCAGCCGCGGUAAUACAGAGGGUGCAAGCGUUAAUCGGAAUUACUGGGCGUAAAGCGCGCGUAGGUGGUUCGUUAAGUUGGAUGUGAAAAUCCCCGGGCUCAACCUGGGAACUGCAUUC